Molecule: transfer RNA, 75 nt
Filed under: Rikenellaceae bacterium
Lineage: Bacteria; Pseudomonadati; Bacteroidota; Bacteroidia; Bacteroidales; Rikenellaceae
Description: tRNA-Glu
Rfam family: tRNA
About the family: Transfer RNA (tRNA) molecules are approximately 80 nucleotides in length. Their secondary structure includes four short double-helical elements and three loops (D, anti-codon, and T loops). Further hydrogen bonds mediate the characteristic L-shaped molecular structure. tRNAs have two regions of fundamental functional importance: the anti-codon, which is responsible for specific mRNA codon recognition, and the 3' end, to which the tRNAs corresponding amino acid is attached (by aminoacyl-tRNA synthetases). tRNAs cope with the degeneracy of the genetic code in two manners: having more than one tRNA (with a specific anti-codon) for a particular amino acid; and 'wobble' base-pairing, i.e. permitting non-standard base-pairing at the 3rd anti-codon position.
Source: RNAcentral
GGUGGAUUCAUCUAAGGGCUAGGAUACCUGCCUCUCACGCAGGACAUAGGGGUUCGAAUCCCCUAUCCACUACAA